GAGCUUGGAGACCCCGGAGUUAGUUUCCUCCACAUCUCCAAGGUUCGGGUCACACCAACCCUCGAUCUCCAAGAGGUUAGUGUAGAUCUAUGCUUUUUAUUAUGUUUUAAGUAAGUUUUAAUGAGUUUUGAUGCAUGUGGAUGGGUAGAUAUGCAUGUGUUGGGGUUUUCCCCAAUGUUAGGUUUUAUGUGGGUUUUAUGCCCAAAGUAUGUAAAUGUAUGUUUUUAUGAUGCUAUGUUGAGUUUAUGCUCUUUUUAUGCAUGUGGGAGUGAGUAUGCAUG
This 281-nucleotide long non-coding RNA is filed under the name Manihot esculenta (cassava). RNAcentral's name for it is "long non-coding RNA (MESC_LNC012022)". The record is from RNAcentral. Lineage: Eukaryota; Viridiplantae; Streptophyta; Magnoliopsida; Malpighiales; Euphorbiaceae.